AUAAUAUUAAGAUAAUAAUUCUAUUAACCUUCAAAGUUAAAAAUUCUAUCUUAUG
RNAcentral lists this transfer RNA (55 nucleotides) under Cheliceroides longipalpis. RNAcentral's name for it is "tRNA-Trp". Lineage: Eukaryota; Metazoa; Arthropoda; Arachnida; Araneae; Salticidae. The record is from RNAcentral.